AACGCGAAGAACCUUACCUGGUCUUGACAUCCUGGGAACCCUGAAGAGAUUUAGGGGUGCCGCAAGGAGCCCAGAGACAGGUGCUGCAUGGCUGUCGUCAGCUCGUGUCGUGAGAUGUUGGGUUAAGUCCCGCAACGAGCGCAACCCUUACUCAUAGUUGCUACCCGCAAGGGAGAACUCUAUGAGGACUGCUCCGGAUAACGGAGAGGAAGGUGGGGAUGAGGUCAAGUCAGCAUGGCCUUUAUGUCCAGGGCUACACACGUGUUACAAUGCGCGCCACAAAGCGUCGCGAACCCGCGAGGGGGAGCUAAUCGCAAAAAAGCGCGCUCAGUUCGGAUUGCAGUCUGCAACUCGACUGCAUGAAGCCGGAAUCGCUAGUAAUGGCGCAUCAGAACGGCGCCGUGAAUACGUUCCCGGGCCUUGUACACACCGCAUAC
This 437-nucleotide ribosomal RNA is filed under the name uncultured bacterium. RNAcentral's name for it is "bacterial SSU rRNA". It matches the Rfam family "Bacterial small subunit ribosomal RNA", at positions 958 to 1397 of the family's 1533-position model. The record is from RNAcentral.